AAAAAGGGCGAAGAGUGGAUGCCUCGACUCAAAGUUCCGAUGAAGGACGUGGCUAGCUGCGAUAAGCCUCGGCGAGCUGUUAAGCAAGCAUUGACCCGGGGAUUUCCGAAUAGGGCAACCUAAUCCGAGUUAUGUCGGAUUACCUGGUACCUUUUUUGUUUCUGAAUACAUAAAGCACGUAGAUGCUUUGCGAUUUUUGUCAGUGACAAAGAAGGUGCCAGGAGGACACACAGAGAACUGAAACAUCUUAGUACCUGUGGAAAAGAAAUCAUAUGAGAUUCCCUUAGUAGUGGCGAGCGAACGGGGAACAGCCUAAACCACUGCGGCGUGAUAGGUGCCAGCCGUUUCCGUGGUGGUGUUGCAAGGCCUAUUUUCUAGUAUCUGGCGAUGCUGGUAAUCGGUUCCAUUGUUAGUCAAAGGUCCCUGGAAAGGGCCGCCAUAGAGGGUAAUAGCCCCGUCGGCGAAAACAAUGGCUUCGGUUAAAUAGGUUCUUAAGUAGGGUCGGACACGUGAAAUCCGGCCUGAACCUGGGUGGACCACCAUCCAAGGCUAAACAGACUUUGAGAUCUAUAGUGAACAAGUACCGUGAGGGAAAGGUGAAAAGCACCCCAGAAAGGGGGAUGAAAUAGUUUCUGAAACUCUUUGCUUAAAAGGAGUAGGAGCCUCGCUUCGGCGGGGUGACUGCGUACUUUUUGUAGAACGGGCCAACGAGUUAGCUGUAUGGGGCUUGGUUAAGGGAGAUUCACCCGAAGCCAUAGCGAAAGCGAGUCUUAACUGGCGCAUUUGUCUCAUACACUAGACCCGAAACCAGGUGAGCUACCCAUGGACAGGCUGAAGUCCGCUUAACAGCGGAUGGAGGGCCGAACCCAACUAUGUUGCAAGAUAGUGGGAUGAGCUGUGGGUAGUGGAGAAAUUCCUAUCGAACCUGGAGAUAGCUGGUUCUCCUCGAAAUAGCUUUAGGGCUAGCCUUGUGCGUUAAGCAGUGGGGGUAGAGCGCUGUUUCGGCUAGGGGGCGAAAUAAGUCUACCAAACCGAGAUAAACUUCGAAUACCACUGUGUACUUCACAGGAGUCAGUCCGUGACAGCUAAGUGCCACGGACAAAAGGGAAACAGCCCAGACCGUCGUCUAAGGUCCCUAAUAGAGAUUAAGUGUUAAAGGAUGUUAGAUCCCGUAGACAACCAGGAGGUUGGCUUAGAAGCAGCCACCCUUUAAAGAGUGCGUAAUAGCUCACUGGUCUACGCCCACCGUAAGGUGGGGGGAUUUAGCGCCGAAAAUCCAACGGGGCUCAAAUCUCUAACCGAAGACACGGACUUUCCCCGCCUCGGCGGGGGGAGUGGUAGAGGAGCGUUCCAUUCAGCGAUGAAGUCGCAUCGUAAGGUGCGGUGGAGUGGAUGGAAGUGCAAAUGUUGGCAUAAGUAACGUAAACCAAGUGAAAAACUUGGUCACCGUAAACCCAAGGUUUCCCAAGCCACGUUAAUCGACUUGGGGUUAGUCGGUCCUAAGGUGAACCCGAAAGGGGUAGUCGAUGGACAACAGGUUAAUAUUCCUGUACAACGGGCAUUUCGUCCAAGCAAAACUGGCAGUGCCUGCUCGCAAAUGUAAUCUCUUCGGAGGUUUCAAAUGUGUUCAGGUUAACUAAAGGCGGCGCUAGCUUAGGGGGGACGCCGUUGGAUAAAGAGAGCGUAUUAAUGAAUUUACGUCCAAGCUUUAAGUAUCGUGCCUCUUAUGUAAAUCAGGGAGGUCCUCUUUACUUCGGUAAAGAGAAUACGAGAAGUGAUGGAAAGCCCCGCUUUGCGGGGUGAUUCUCUUGAUUUCAGCGGACUAGAAAAUCCUCGAAGCGAGAAAUGCACGUUACCGUACCGCAAACCAACACUGGUGGGUGGGUAGAGUAUACUAAGGUGAUCGGGAUAACCCUCGUUAAGGAACUCGGCAAAACAGCGGCCGUAACUUCGGAAUAAGGCCUGACAGCAUUUUUUUAUUUUAUAAGAAAGUGCUGCCCGCAGCGAAAGAUCCCAUGCAACUGUUUACCAAAAACACAGGUCUCUGCAAACUCGUAAGAGGAUGUAUAGGGGCUGACGCCUGCCCAGUGCCAGAAGGUCACGUGGAGGGGUUAGGACUUCGGUCCAAAGCUCUGAAAUUAAGCCCUGGUGAACGGCGGCCGUAACUAUAACGGUCCUAAGGUAGCGAAAUUCCUUGUCUGGUAAGUUCAGACCCGCACGAAUGGCGUAAUGAUAUGGGAACUGUCUCAACGAGGGACCCGGUGAAAUUGUAGUAUCGGUAAAAAUACCGAUUAACCGCAGCA
Molecule: ribosomal RNA, 2303 nt
Filed under: Candidatus Peregrinibacteria bacterium GW2011_GWE2_39_6
Lineage: Bacteria; Candidatus Peregrinibacteriota
Description: bacterial LSU rRNA
Rfam family: Bacterial large subunit ribosomal RNA
Source: RNAcentral